RNAcentral lists this ribosomal RNA (253 nucleotides) under uncultured bacterium. Its description in RNAcentral is "partial 16S ribosomal RNA". It matches the Rfam family "Bacterial small subunit ribosomal RNA", at positions 524 to 776 of the family's 1533-position model. The record is from RNAcentral.
GACAGAGGUCCCGAGCGUUAGGCGGAAUCACUGGGCUUAAAGCGUGUGUAGGCGGAUCGUUAAGUGCCUUGUGAAAUCCCACGGCUCAACCGUGGAACUGCCGGGCAUACUGGCGAUCUUGAGGCAUUCAGGGGCGAGCGGAACAAAUGGUGGAGCGGUGAAAUGCGUAGAUAUCAUUUGGAACGCCAAUGGUGAAAACAGCUCGCUGGGAAUGAUCUGACGCUGAGACGCGAAAGCCAGGGGAGCGAACGGG